This 334-nucleotide unclassified non-coding RNA is filed under the name soil metagenome. RNAcentral describes it as "partial contains 5.8S ribosomal RNA, internal transcribed spacer 2, and large subunit ribosomal RNA". The stretch from base 1 to 120 matches the Rfam family "5.8S ribosomal RNA", at positions 35 to 154 of the family's 154-position model. The record is from RNAcentral.
GAUGAAGAACGUAGCGAAAUGCGAUAAGUAGUGUGAAUUGCAGAAUUCAGUGAAUCAUCGAAUCUUUGAACGCACAUUACGCCCCUUGGUAUUCCAUGGGGCAUGCCUGUUCGAGCGUCAUUUGUACCUUCAAGCUUUGCUUGGUGUUGGGUGUUUGUCCAUUCUCUUGCAGAGGGACUCGCCUUAAAGUAAUUGGCAGCCAGUGUUUUGGUUUUGAAGCGCAGCACAAGUCGCGAUUCAACGCUAUACGCCAGCUUCCACAAGCCUUUUUCACUUUUGACCUCGGAUCAGGUAGGGAUACCCGCUGAACUUAAGCAUAUCAAUAAGCGGAGGA